CCCACGGCACUAUGGUCAUCUGCUAGGUUGUACCACUGACUGGUCAUUCUCCUUUCAAAAUGUGCAGUAAGACUGCAGUCAUCUAUUUUUAGAGUUUAUUGUUUCUUUUAAAGCUAUUUAUGUCUUUGUAAUUUAAAGGGGGAAAAGCUUGCUGAAUCAUGUACAGUUAAAUUUUUCUAAUCGAGGCCUCAUUAAAUCCAGGAUUUGUGCUAAUUCCAUCCAAACUGAGCUGAAUUGUGUGCUAUUUUUGUAGAAAAGAUGAAUAAGCAAAUUGACAGCAUAUUUAACCUACUUAAAUUAAUUACGUGUUUUUAGGUAUGUUGGCAGGGAAUGAUUUGGAGUGAAUAUGCUAAAUGAUAGUAACAACUGCCAAUAUGCCACAUGUCUGUGGCCAGACCAAGAGUCAAGAGAUAAUGUGACACAUUAUUGACUUUGAUCUCAACGACAAACUUAUGAAAUGGUCCUACUUUACAGAUAAGGAAACUGAUAAAGAUGUUAUUUCAUGUGUCCAAGGUAUCACAGUAGGGGAGAAUCAGCAUUUAAACCCAGGUCUGGCUGGCAUCAAAGCCUGUGUUCUCACCUUCAUGCUCUAUUACGAUAAUUCCUGGUCAUCUGGGAGUCCCAGGCUUCAUAAGGAUAUGAUGAAAGCCUCAGAAGGAUUUACCAAGUGAGGAAUAAAAAUGUCUCCUUUCUAAGGGUUGGCACUCCAUCCACUGUCUGGCCCCACCUCUCUCUUGAACUGGGUGGUAGCUUCUCCUUCAUGCUGCUCUGGACUACACAGGAGACUGAUAACCACCUCUGGCCCUCUCCAAGCUGCCUUUGGCUCAGUGGCCUGUGGGCCUUUGGAGGGCCACAGCUGAAUCUUGGUCAUCCAUGUGUUCCCUGAACAAAGGACACAGAUGCUACAGGGGGGAAGCAGGAGAAGAAAUUUUCAAGAAAAACAUUGUGGACAGGAUUUUCAAAAUAGUGGAAGAAGAGCGACUGUGACAAAUAUGGCACAUGGGAGUUUGAUGAGAGCAAAUGAAAAUGAUUCUCCAGUGAGCCAUUCCAUCCAAGAGAACAAGUGGACUGGGUAUGGAACCUUACUGUGUCGUUAUUUUCCUGAACUUUCCUUCUCCAGCCCUUCAGUGCGGUGUCUAUGCUAAUUAGAAACUCACUGUGUCACUCCUUACCAGUCAUAACUGCCAUUUAAUAAUUUCAGGCUAGAAGUGAGACGUAGGUGCUGGAAGUAAUGAAAUAAACAGUAUAGACUAGCAAACUGCUUUCCUAAU
RNAcentral lists this long non-coding RNA (1271 nucleotides) under Felis catus (domestic cat). Its description in RNAcentral is "lncRNA (ENSFCAG00000044699.2)". Lineage: Eukaryota; Metazoa; Chordata; Mammalia; Carnivora; Felidae. The record is from RNAcentral.